RNAcentral lists this ribosomal RNA (337 nucleotides) under Rhodomonas abbreviata. RNAcentral's name for it is "partial Eukaryotic large subunit ribosomal RNA". It matches the Rfam family "Eukaryotic large subunit ribosomal RNA", at positions 1590 to 1910 of the family's 3401-position model. Lineage: Eukaryota; Cryptophyceae; Pyrenomonadales; Pyrenomonadaceae. The record is from RNAcentral.
GUAAUCGAAAGGGAAUGAGGUUAAUAUUCCUGAACGAGGACAGUGUAUGCAUAAUUUGGCGACAGUUGUGGUUGUUGGGAGACGUUGGCGGGCAUCCCGGGAAGAGUUGUCUUUUCUUUUUGACUGUGAGUGGUGUCGGCCUGGAAUCGAUUUGUUCGGCGAUAGGGCGGUGUUCGCAGGCAGAGCGCUGUCAGGGUAGAUGGCGUCCGGUGCAUGUUUGUCUCUCCUUGAAAAUCCCAAGGAUCGUAAAUGGUAUAAUCACUCCUCUCCGUACUGUAAACCGCAACAGGUCUCCAAGGUGAGAAGCCUCUAGUUGAUAGAAGAAUGUAGAUAAGGG